UACGUAGGGUGCAAGCGUUGUCCGGAAUUAUUGGGCGUAAAGAGCUCGUAGGCGGUCUGUCGCGUCGGAUGUGAAAAUCCAGGGCUCAACCCUAGACCUGCAUUCGAUACGGGCAGACUAGAGUUCGGCAGGGGAGACUGGAAUUCCUGGUGUAGCGGUGGAAUGCGCAGAUAUCAGGAGGAACACCGGUGGCGAAGGCGUGUCUCUGGGCAGUAACUGACGCUGAGGAGCGAAAGCGUGGGGAGCGAACAGG
This 253-nucleotide ribosomal RNA is filed under the name uncultured bacterium. RNAcentral's name for it is "partial 16S ribosomal RNA". It matches the Rfam family "Bacterial small subunit ribosomal RNA", at positions 524 to 776 of the family's 1533-position model. The record is from RNAcentral.